Molecule: ribozyme, 167 nt
Filed under: Vicugna pacos (alpaca)
Lineage: Eukaryota; Metazoa; Chordata; Mammalia; Artiodactyla; Camelidae
Description: Hovlinc ribozyme (hominin vlincRNA-located)
Rfam family: Hovlinc ribozyme (hominin vlincRNA-located)
About the family: Hovlinc is a recently evolved class of self-cleaving ribozyme found in a very long non coding RNA (vlincRNA) in hominins, including humans (genus Homo), and chimpanzees and bonobos (genus Pan), but missing in gorillas (genus Gorilla).
Source: Rfam by way of RNAcentral
GCUUGGACCAAGCCCAGGAAUAAGGUACCUCAGAACUGGAUGGGCCGUGUGCUUAACCAGGACAAGAUCUCCUUCUCUCCAACGUUGUUGCCAACUCAUGAUUCUCCUAACCUGUGCUUGGAGAGACGUGGACCCAGAGUCAGAGGACCUCUGACUUCCACUGCUAG